UCCCAGACUCCUACGGGAGGCAGCAGUGAGGAAUAUUGGUCAAUGGGCGCGAGCCUGAACCAGCCAAGUCGCGUGAGGGAGGACGGCCCUACGGGUUGUAAACCUCUUUUGCCGGGGAGCAACGGGCGUCACGUGUGGCGCCACUGAGAGUACCCGGAGAAAAAGCAUCGGCUAACUCCGUGCCAGCAGCCGCGGUAAUACGGAGGAUGCGAGCGUUAUCCGGAUUUAUUGGGUUUAAAGGGUGCGUAGGCGGCUCUUUAGGUCAGUGCUAAAAUGGGGGGGCCCAACCCCUCCCCGCCAUUGAAACUGGCGCUCUUGAGUGGAAGAGAAGUAUGCGGAAUGCGUGGUGUAGCGGUGAAAUGCAUAGAUAUCACGCAGAACCCCGAUUGCGAAGGCAGCAUGCCGGCUUCCGACUGACGCUGAAGCACGAAAGCGUGGGGAUCGAACAGGAUUAGAUACCCCUGUA
Molecule: ribosomal RNA, 466 nt
Filed under: uncultured bacterium
Lineage: Bacteria
Description: bacterial SSU rRNA
Rfam family: Bacterial small subunit ribosomal RNA
Source: RNAcentral